This 7204-nucleotide long non-coding RNA is filed under the name Lactuca sativa (garden lettuce). RNAcentral's name for it is "long non-coding RNA (LSAT_LNC001186)". The record is from RNAcentral. Lineage: Eukaryota; Viridiplantae; Streptophyta; Magnoliopsida; Asterales; Asteraceae.
AUUAAUUGAAACUGCAAGGACUAAAGGUGACAAUGUUCAAAAGUUGAGCAUUGAAGCAUUCUAGAACCUCCCUUAGAGGUGGGGAACGAAAUCUAGAGUGUCCUAGGGUUUCCUUGGUCUCUAAGGGUGCCUUGGAAGCCUUAGGGAGGAAGUUAAGGGAUUAGGGUUAUCCAAGAUACACCUGCCUUAUCCUAAACCUUCCUUAUCACCUAUAUAAACCCCUAUAGGGUUGGAUUUCGUUGAAGGCGCUCCAAGAGAGGCUUAGAGCCGAAUUUUCACUUCCUUUCUUUCUCCAUAGUAAUCCUUGGUUGCUAGGUUUGUUUGUGAGCCAUUAGAGGCGCGACACUUGUGGCGCUUGCUUUCAAAGACAAGAAGAUUCAAGAUUUAAGUUGUUAUUACAAUAUAACAACAAGAGGUAUGUAUUUCAUCUUUAUUUGUGAAUUUCGAAAUCCCUAGAAGCUUGUUAGGGUUCUUUACAUUUUCAUAAUGUUGUAUAACUAAUAGUGAUAACAUAGAUCCAACUCUAGGGUUGCAUGCACACAUAUGAUUGUUUGUAUAAAACCCAUCAGUGGUAUCAGAGGCAUUGGUUUUUUGUUUUCAAUUAGCAUUAUACAAAUGUAUGAACUUGAAAAAUUAGGGUUUAUGGCCAAUAAUCCCUAGGAGGAAUGAAUUUUUGAAAUUAGGGUUCUUGAACCCUGAUUUACGAAAUUUGGUUAGGGUUUCCCAAACCCUUUCCUUAGCCUCCAAGAUUUCGAAAUUUGCCUCCUUCCCCAAGAUAAGAUCCUAUUUUUUAGGGAUUUGGAUAAAUGCCAUAUCUUGUAAAUAUCUUUUAAGUGUUUAAAUUUGGUAAUUAAAGAUUUUGAAUUAUCUCAUCCCAUAAUUGCGAAUUUUAGGGGAUUUAAGGGAUUAGGUUAAAUUAAUUGUUUAAUUUAAAAGAUAUCCUUACCAAAAUAGAAGAUUAUUGUCAAAUUAAUUAGAUAAUCAUUGCCUUAUGUGAUAAACUUGAUUUAUUUGAAUUAUUUGAUAGAUUAUCUUGCAAGAAAUUGAAUUAGGUCAUAUUUAGAUAAUUACUAAUUAAUUGGUUAAUCUAGAAUGUUCUCGGUUAUGUUUUGAAAAGUUUCAAAACUUGCCCUCAAGUUUUGGAAUUUAAUUUUUGAUUAAAAGUUUAAUUUUUAAAUGUUAAAUUCUAAAACCCUAGUUUUGAAAAGUUCAAAUUUCAACAUUUUAGUUUUAUUAAGUUAAUUAAAAGUAUAAUUAAAAGAAAGUUAACAAAUCCAUCAUCAUUUGGUUUAUAUUUGAUUAAAUUAAAAGUGUAAUUUAUAAAAUUAAACCACCUAGGAUUUUAAAAGUGUAAAAUACACCCUUAUACUAUGUAUAACAUUAAAAGUCUAAUAUUANCCCUUAUACUAUAUAUAACAUUAAAAGUUUAAUAUUAUAUAUAUAACUUAAACUGCUAGUCUUACCGUUAGUAGGCCUCAUUCACGAAGCUAGUCUAUAAGGGGUGUUUAAGGAAAUUGCCUAUAAAAUGGCGAUUGAAUGGGUAUCCACUCUUACCCACCACACUCUUGACUAGUGGAGGGUCGUUAGCCGAACGGGUAGGAUAGGGCAAACCCUCUCCUCAUUAAAAGUAUAAUGAAAUAUAAAGUAACUAAAUGUUUUACAAAAUUCCCAAUCCUAGUUACUUUAGGCAAAGCUGAAUUGAUGCAAUUCCAUGAAAUUACACUUUGUACCCUUGCUAAGACGUUAGUGGAGCGUGUGUGGUUAACAGGCACACUAAUUGGGUUCUAAGCAAAGGUAGUAAAGGGUGACUCGAUAUUUGUCAUAGUUCGGUGGAACGUGUGUGGUUAACCGGCACAUCGAAUAGGUGAAUGUAACAUUUGGGGCACCAUGUAUAUUUGCAUGGUUAUUCACACCCUGUUUUGUGAUCCUCGGCAUCCCAGUCACAAAUCGAGGGGCAUAUCAAGAUUUAAGCAUGCCAUUGAAAAGUUUAAUGAAUCUCAAAAGAUCUAUGAGUUUUCAAUACAUUUAAAACUUAAAUUCCUUUUUCGUUUUUCAUGGUGGAAAAUUAGUGAAUCGUCAUUCACUUACCUUCAAAUGUUCUGCAAGUUGGAUUACGACAUCCCUCUUCCAAUUUGUAGGAUGUUGUGUUGGAUCCUAGCCUUAAUAUCUCAUUUGGGUGUUUUAUUAAGGAAUCAAUCAACCAAACUUGAAUUUUCUCCCGUUUCAUAAAUGUCAAAGUCUGACAACUGUGGUCUUCCUAAAUCCGUUGGAAAUAGUUUUUUUUUUGUGAAGAUGAUAUUCCACAAUUGGAUUGUGGAAAUGGAAAUCAUGCUUUACUUCCUCCACCUCCUCCAAUAAUUCUCCCUAACCCACGUGUUCGAAGACUUGAAGAGUUCAAGGUCACUCAAGCCCUGUUGGCAAUAAGACACAAAGAUGGAAAGUCUGUGUGUGCACACAUCUUAAAGAUAAAGUCACACAUUGACAAAUUAAGGAUGUUGGGUGUCGAUGUCUCAAGGAAGUUGGUUGUUGACUUGGUUCUUCAAUCACUUCCCGAAUCAUAUGGUAAGUUCGUUAGAGAGUACUAUAUAAUGGACCAGGACAUGAACCUUAUUGACUUAUUUGUUUAUUGUUGCUGAAUCAGAAAUGAUUUGGCGCACUAGUUGAGCAAAUUUGUCUGAUAAAUCAAUAUCCUAACCUUCUAUGGAUAAUGGCAACAUUGGAAGUCCAGAAAAGUUUUCUCUACGUAAGAGAAAGGCUGAGUCUGAGAUAGUCACGUGUACCAUUCCAGUAAAAUCCAUAUGUUUCUACUGCCCAAAGAAGGGGUACUGGUUACGAAGCUGCCCAGACUACCUAAGAGAUCUAAGAGAUAGGAGAGUCAAGAUGUAUGACUCUGCUUUAGGCAAUAUCCACUAUCUAACUCUAUUAAGUUCCUAUUUGGAGAUUCUUAAUACAUGAUGUGACAAGAUUACAUUUUGAUGUUUUGAAGGAUCAACGAAAGGAAAGGUAGCUUAAAGGAAAGAGCGAGCUGAGUCUGAUAGCGAAGAAAUGGAUUACGAUCGCAUGGAUUCGAUGAUCGGAUUUUUGAGCUGCUGCUUAGAGUUAUGAUAGAUUGCUUAGGAAUAUAGCAUAGUUUUCAUUUGCAUUGUAAAGGAUAUAUUUUUCCGCAAUAAAAUAAAUUUUGAUUUUGUCUUAUUUAUAUUUCCUUGCGAUGGCAAUUAUGAGAAUUGAUGUCUAUGUGUUUCUAUUAUAAGCAAUAUUAAGUGGAUGAGAUUUUUGGUUAUAUUAUUUAUGGUAGUUUUAUAAGUAAGGAAAGAUUCCCAUCGCCCAAGUUUCAAUUGGACAGAAUCUUGGAAUCAUAUGAUUUGAAUCAUGUGAUGUAUGGAAAUCUUGAUACUUAGAAAUUUUAAGACUAAUUCCUUGACAAAGAGUCAAGUGAAGGACUAGAAGGUCUGGUACACAAUGUUGUAUGCUAGUCAACUCUAUCAUAAAUAACGAUAAGAUUAUUCGUCAUGAUUUACUAAAGGCUUAGUAAAUGUGGUUAUGCUUACAAGAUUAAAUAUUAUUCUAAAUUAUUGAGAAAUUUCAAUGAAUGGCAGAACGAAUAAGAAGAAUCAAUUAGGCAGAAAGAUAAAAGUUUCUCCAAUCUAAGAAGAAGGGAGAGUACUUUUGUAUCAUGUUUUAUGAUCGUCUUUGUAAUUGUAGGAACCAUAUUACAAUUCAUCCUCUAAGGACAUCUUAGUGCACUAGUAUGGCUAAGAAGAAGAGUCAGGAAUUGUCAAAAUGGUUAAGUCAAUAAGAUAAAUCGUACUUCAUUCCAAAAUCAAAUCCUAGAGUCAUACUCCAAGAUUGUGACUUGAGUGGCGUAAUCUUAAGUAGAAAUGUUCUUACUUUUGCAUAUUUUGGUAAGUUGUGAUGUCUUGGAUAAGACAAAGACCAACCAAUACCAAAUGUGUGUAGGUUUUAUCUUGAUAAAGACACACACUAACUCUUGAAUAUUUGUUUUUGUCAAGAAAUGUUUCUUGAUAAGAGAAUCUUAUAUGUCAAGAGGUCAGUGGGAGUCUAAGUGAUCUUGAAAAGGUUCAAGAACUAAUCAAGAGUCAACCUAUUAUUAAACACUAGCACACGACUUGAGGUUUCUAAUCUAUCGUGUUGACUUAUUCUUGUUUCCGUACCAUUCCAGUUUGGUCAACUAUGCACGUGAGUUCUAUGAGUUCUCAUGGGGUUGCAUAGAGGCUAGGCACCUUGAUCAAUGGAAAGUACAUUGAAAGAUAAAGGUGAGCUGAUCAAUAACUUGGAAGCAAUGGUAGGACCCUUUAUGGCAAGAAAUUAAGAAUGAACAAGUUCUGUCCAUAAGAGUUUGGAUUUGUCACAAACAUUAUCUUUCGAUUAAGGUUAUAAAAAAAUUCAUAUGGAUAGGAAGACAUACGCCACAAAAUCUAAGUGUCAUAAGGUUUCUCUCCUUCAUGAAAAUGAUUGUGAGGAAACGCUUUCACUAAGAGAGAUUUUGAAGAUAGCAUUAUGUAAUUUGUGUUUCUCGAAUUCGAUUAUGAUUACGGCAUCCCUCUUCAUAGUUCGAAUUGUGAGAAAUGACAAAUGGGUCUGAACAUUUUAGACUUAUUGUUAUAAGUUCUAGAAUUGUUUAGACAAACAUAUCGGUUGUCUAAAGAAAGGUGUAUGAGUUAGAGAAGCUUAGAUAAAGUUUUAUCGAAACAUCUCGUAUCAGAAAUAUGAACUUUGGUAAGAAAGAUAAUAAGCAUUGAUUUCUAGAAGUUUUGCUGAUUUCUGAAUGCAUGUCAAAGCUAGUGGGAGCAUAAGUGUUAUGCUAGUAAGGAGAUAAUCAUCAUGUUAGUAGGAACAUGAUUAUUAUUUUAAGAGUUGCGAGUCAGCAAUAUUAAUUAUAGACAACAAGAGUUUUACUUUGCCAAGUUGCAAGGGUUGAAAGAUUGUUUUGCUAUAAUUAAGGGAGAGAAUAUUGUACUUCGUUUCGAAAUCUAAGAGCUUAGAUCGAGAGAUUUUAAUCAAAUCUAGUCAAAUAUAUGAAUUGUGUUCUCAAAACUCGAUUAUGAUUACGGCAUCUCUUUUCAUAGUUCGAAUUAUGAGAACAUGACAAAUAGAAAUAUUAUGGCAAAAGACUGGUAAAGUAUAACGUCUUUAUGUAAGACAUUAUGCUUCGUGUUCCAUACGUUUCGGGUAUAGGAUCGAUCGCAUAUGCUAUAAUAAUUGACCGUUCUAAAAUUUUCCAAAUGCCUAGAGCAUUAAGAGGGAAAAAGGACUAGAACCGAACAUGACUAAGUUUAUUAAACAACUAUCAAAGGACAAUCUAAGGUUCGCCAAGGAUUGGUUGCUUGUGAAUAGUUGGAAGUAUAGUAGUGGAUGGACCAUACUUAUAUUAUUAUUACAAGAUUUGAUAAUGAGUUGUCAUAUGGAAAAUAUUGAAAUGUUUCCAUAUUGGGAGUUGGACGUUAAGAAUCUAUAUGUCUAGAUUAGAAACUUUUAUGCAAAAAAAAGGAUGUUCAAAGGAAUGUAUUUUGAAUAUGAGACUUCAUAUCUAUGAAAUUGUCUUGCAACAAUCUCCAAUAGAGGAAUUUGUAAUUUCAUUCGCAAAGACUUUGUGACCUUGGCGCUAUGACAUUACGAAAGGAUCGUUGCUUAAAAUGUUAGAAUCUAGCAUAUUCUAUAAAUAGCAAGAAUUUGGUAUUCUUACACUUGUGGUAAGGAUUAGGAGUUGUGAAAUGAUUAUGAUUGAAAAUGUGUUCAAUUAAUCUAUUACACAAAGUUAGGACCAUAGGAAAACAUAGUGUGCAUGCUAAGAGCAUGGGACAACUGUAGUUAUAAUUCAAGUAAUAAGUUGAUUACCCGAAACAACAAAUAAUGAGUAAUCAAUAUGGUGAUAAAUAAAAGGUGUUUUAUUUAUACUCAAAAGUUUGGGGCCAUAUAGGAUUAGUAUUAUUCUUGUGUUUCACUUUGCAUGUUUUGACUUCCUGAAUAAUUAAAUUAUUUUAGAAUAAUCAAAUUAUUCGAAUGUUCCACAGUCACUCAUACUUUGGGAGUAGGUAUGAAAGAAGAUUGUCGUGAAUUGGUGUGUAGAUUGUUUAAAGUGUAUUAAACAUAGCAAAGGUUUGCUGCAACGUUCAUGAGUGCUUAAGAAUAUGAUUUGAGCAUUGGAUUAAACCCACGCUCACUUAGAUCGUUUCAUGGAUUUUAUCACGAGCAAUUGGUGAGACGAUAAUAUCUUAUAUUCUUGAAACCGAGAUGUGUGAGUUGUAUCUUGCGAGUCAGUUGCACAUUGAUAAUAUGUAAACACACUAGUAACUUGGUGUUAUAAAACAUAUUGUUGUGUGUGAUUUGGUGAGUGAGUGCAAGCAAGCAUUGAGUCAAAGUUUAUCCGUUCCUUUUACCCAAAGUGGGAUAAAAGCGAUAUAUGUGGGCCCUUCGAUGAUUUAGUGAUGAAAAACGUAAAUGCUCGGCCGGGCUAGGGCUAAUUUGAUUUGUUCAAUUAGUCAGUCGUCGUAAAUCGUAAAUCGGGAAACAACAUAUAGACUGAGAGAAUGAUUUCAAACCAUGUCUCAUGUCUAUACGAUAUCUAGAAUGGAGGAAUAUAUGAUCCUUUAUCUAAAGGACAGGUUACUGAUAAGAUUAGAGUUCGACAACAUCUUUGAGAGCUACGAUUGCCAAUCGGGUUGUACUUGCAUUUAUGGUUACUAGACUUAUCCAAGUGGGAGAUUGUUGGAUUAGUGUCUAAGCCCGUAACCAUAUUUGGUAAGUACUUGACCCGGUUGUGCAUGGUCCUUUUGGGUUGCCUUCAAACCUGGCAAUGGAAUAGGAUAAUUGUUGGAGAGAGAAGAAUGAUUUAUUAAUUUAUUACUUGAUUAAUAAAUUAAUUUGAAAUCAAGAUAAAUGAUUUAUUAAUGUAUUAUGGAUAUAAUAUAUUGAUUAGAAAUCAUAUUGUUUAAUUAAUAUUUAAUCAGAAAUUAAUUUGGAAUUAAUUUUAGGAUUAAAGGAAUUAAUUGAAACUGCAGGGACUAAAGGUGACAAUGUUCAAAAGUUGAGCAUUGAAGCAUUCUAGAACCUCCCUUAGAGGUGGGGAACGAAAUCUAGAGUGUCCUAGGGUUUCCUUGGGCUCUAAGGGUGCCUUGGAAGCCUUAGGGAGGAAGUUAAGGGAUUAGGGUUAUCUAAGAUACACCUGCCUUAUCCUAAACCUUCC